This 66-nucleotide transfer RNA is filed under the name Entosthodon laxus. Its description in RNAcentral is "tRNA-Cys". Lineage: Eukaryota; Viridiplantae; Streptophyta; Bryopsida; Funariales; Funariaceae. The record is from RNAcentral.
GGAUUUGCAAUCCUCUGCCUUACCACUUGGCCAUGUUGCCGUUUUUUGUUUAAAAAAAUAAAAAAA